CCUACGGGAGGCAGCAGUGGGGAAUAUUGGGCAAUGGGCGCAAGCCUGACCCAGCAACGCCGCGUGAAGGAAGAAGGCUCUCGGGUUGGAAACUUCUUUUGUUAGGGGCGAAGCAAGUGACGGUACCUGACGAAUAAGCCACGGCCAAAUACGUGCCAGCAGCCGCGGUAAUCCGUAGGUGGCAAGCUUUAUCCGGAUUUAUUGGGUGUAAAGGGCGUGUAGGCGGGAAUGCAAGGCAGAUGUGAAAACUAUUGGCUCAACCCUAAGACUGCAUUUGAAACUGUAUGUCGGGAGUGUUGGAGAGGCAGUCGGAAUUCUGGGUGUAGCGGUGAAAUGCGUAGAGAUACGGAGGAACACCAGUUGCGAAGGCGAAUUGCUGGACAGUAACUGACGCUGAGGCGCGAAAGCGUGGGGAGCAAACAGGAUUAGAUACCCUGGUAGUC
Molecule: ribosomal RNA, 443 nt
Filed under: uncultured bacterium
Lineage: Bacteria
Description: partial 16S ribosomal RNA
Rfam family: Bacterial small subunit ribosomal RNA
Source: RNAcentral